This 325-nucleotide ribosomal RNA is filed under the name uncultured eukaryote. Its description in RNAcentral is "partial 18S ribosomal RNA". It matches the Rfam family "Eukaryotic small subunit ribosomal RNA", at positions 1470 to 1796 of the family's 1831-position model. The record is from RNAcentral.
CCCUUAGAUGUUCUGGGCCGCACGCGCGCUACACUGACAGGGCCAGCGAGUACAUCACCUUAACCGAGAGGUUUGGGUAAUCUUGUUAAACCCUGUCGUGCUGGGGAUAGAGCAUUGCAAUUAUUGCUCUUCAACGAGGAAUGCCUAGUAGGCACGAGUCAUCAGCUCGUGCCGAUUACGUCCCUGCCCUUUGUACACACCGCCCGUCGCUCCUACCGAUUGAAUGCUCAGGUGAGCCAUUCGGACUUUCAUCAUGCUGGUUUCCAGUUUUGAUGAAGGAAAGUCUUGCGAACCUUAUCAUUUAGAGGAAGGAGAAGUCGUAACA